GAGAGAAGCUUGCUUCUCUUGAGAGCGGCGGACGGGUGAGUAAUGCCUAGGAAUCUGCCUGGUAGUGGGGGAUAACGUUCGGAAACGGACGCUAAUACCGCAUACGUCCUACGGGAGAAAGCAGGGGACCUUCGGGCCUUGCGCUAUCAGAUGAGCCUAGGUCGGAUUAGCUAGUUGGUGAGGUAAUGGCUCACCAAGGCGACGAUCCGUAACUGGUCUGAGAGGAUGAUCAGUCACACUGGAACUGAGACACGGUCCAGACUCCUACGGGAGGCAGCAGUGGGGAAUAUUGGACAAUGGGCGAAAGCCUGAUCCAGCCAUGCCGCGUGUGUGAAGAAGGUCUUCGGAUUGUAAAGCACUUUAAGUUGGGAGGAAGGGCAGUUACCUAAUACGUGGUUGUUUUGACGUUACCGACAGAAUAAGCACCGGCUAACUCUGUGCCAGCAGCCGCGGUAAUACAGAGGGUGCAAGCGUUAAUCGGAAUUACUGGGCGUAAAGCGCGCGUAGGUGGUUUGUUAAGUUGGAUGUGAAAUCCCCGGGCUCAACCUGGGAACUGCAUUCAAAACUGACUAACUAGAGUAUGGUAGAGGGUGGUGGAAUUUCCUGUGUAGCGGUGAAAU
RNAcentral lists this ribosomal RNA (620 nucleotides) under Pseudomonas fluorescens. RNAcentral describes it as "bacterial SSU rRNA". It matches the Rfam family "Bacterial small subunit ribosomal RNA", at positions 71 to 687 of the family's 1533-position model. Lineage: Bacteria; Pseudomonadati; Pseudomonadota; Gammaproteobacteria; Pseudomonadales; Pseudomonadaceae. The record is from RNAcentral.